This 20593-nucleotide long non-coding RNA is filed under the name Capsicum annuum. Its description in RNAcentral is "long non-coding RNA (CANN_LNC005841)". Lineage: Eukaryota; Viridiplantae; Streptophyta; Magnoliopsida; Solanales; Solanaceae. The record is from RNAcentral.
GUAUUACCAUAUUUUAUAUAACCUCAUAUGUAUGGAAAUGCCUCCAAUUUUCAUGGAUAUAUUCACCUAAGCAUUAUAUAUAUCUAGUUGGUUCGAUUGCAAUCUCAUAGGUUAACUUUAACAUUUCUAAAUGAGUGAUGAGUAGUACUAGAAUCCCAUUUGAAGAGCACACAUUUGUGUGCAACCAACAUACACAAUCCAUCUUCAUGUAUACUCCAGUUACACACUUCAGAUGCACUGUGACAAAUUUUUGUGUCAUUCAAGUCAAACAGAUUGAAAAACCCAUGUUUUUCGUCUAGUUUCAUCUCACAAGAAAGGGUAUUAUUUACUCCGCGAAGAAUGUUUCCAUCGUAUUCAUAAGUCUCUCCUGAUUCCAUCGCGAAGCUCCCUAUAUCUUCUCCGUUUACAUAACAUCCUGCGUUCGCUGUACUUGGUGUUUCAUUUGUCAUCCUAACAACAAAAUAAUCAUCUAUGGUUUGUGAAUUGAUCAGUGAUGAAAAGCUAAGUAGGAAAAGGCAAAGUACUAAGUUAUAUUGUGAUGAGGAAGAAGACAUGGUGAUUUUUUUUUUGUGUGCAAGUGUGUGUAAUUUCUUGUUAUGUUUAUGGUUUGCUUGUUGAUGUUGGCCCUUAUAUUUAUAGUGAAUAAUGUGUGUCAUGUUGCUUGUAUCAACUACUUUCAUUAAUGAUAAUAGUGAUUAAUAUCUUCUUAUAUUGGUACUAUUUGAUCUUAAGGUCUUACCAAAAAGUCAUACCAACUUGAAGAUUUUCUAUGACUUUUUUUUUUACGAGUCUUGAAAUAAUUGGUAAAGUUGUUGUCAAGUGAUUUGUCGGUCACGGGUUCGAGUUGCAGAAACAGCCUCUUGCAGAAAUGUAAAGUAAGGUUGCAUCCAAUAAACCCUUGUGGUUUGUCCCCUCCCUAGAUCCUGCAUAUAGCGAAAGCUUUAGUAUACCAUACUGCGCUUUUUGUUCAUCUUUUUUAUGUUAACUUUGUAUGUUAUUUAUUUGUGAUACUGUUGGUGAAUUUUAACCUAUAGUAGUAGAUUGUCUGCUUAUCUUUUAGAUUUUAAUAAAAAAAUAGUCAUAUAUAGGAGCUAUUCUUCAACUAACAGUCAAAACAAAAAUAUAAUUUAAUACUACAUGUGAAGGGAGGAAAUGUGGGGUAAGGCAACGUGAAAUAAGCCUUGUAGUUGGUCCUUUCUCGAAUUCCACGCACAAUAAGAGCUUUUGCAGAUGUAUUUACUGUUUAUCUCUGUGUAAUUGUUACUCAUAUCGGAUUGAAAAAAUUAGCUCGUAUAAACAUGACAUGAAAUCCGUCAAAUUAAGUUCACUGAUGGGCGCGCAAUGUGGCACAUGGUUCCCUGUCUUCUUCCCCUUCUUCGCUUCAUAGCUUUCCUUGCUUGCGCGCGUAGCCAAUUUGUUUAUUCAUGUCAUAGUACUUGUUCAUCUGAUGGAGAUAUGUUCUCAUCGUGCCUGUUAUAUAUCCUCAUUCUUCCCCACAGGAUGACAUAUAUGUAGAGGCCUACAGUAAUCAAAGCGCAACACCUAGUUUAGGCCUUUACGUUGUCCUGUGGAGGGGGAAAUAUGAGGAUAACAUGAGUGAGGAGAACAUUUCUCCAUCAGAUAAAUUAACACACACUAACAUAUGAACAAGCGGGCGAAGAGGAGAAGGAGGAAGACGAGGUGAUGACAGCCAUGGGCCACCCCGCCCGUGAACAAACAAUUCGUCACCUAUACAGAGUUUGGUGCACCGGAGUCACAUAUCCAACCUCUCCAGUUGUCACCAAGUAAUUGGUUCCCAAAAAAAUCGAUGUCCAUAUUGUUGGACAAUAAAAUUUCGACACAAGAAAAUAUUGUUAAAAUAAAUUUUAUUGAUUUCAAUGCGAGUGUUACAAUCUUUAUGAAACUCUGAUUCGCCUUUUCAAAUAUAAAUUCGAGGGCUUAAAGCUUAAUCUUGAAUUUGAACUUGAUUUGAUGAAUUUGAGGAAUUUGAUAUUGACUUGUGCUUGAAUUCAACGGUUUUUGAACUUGUUCUUGAAUAUUGCGGUCUUGAUUUUGAAUCUUGAUGAACUUUUGAAUGCUUGAACUUUUUAGAGAAAUUGCAGCGUUUGAUCCACGAGCUUUCUCUUGCUACUUGUUAGAGAUUUGGGGGUCUUUUUCAGAAUUAUGAGGUCUCUAUUUAUAGUUCUGAAUUAUGAGGCCGCUAUUUAUAGUUAUAGGAAAGGAAGAGUCAUGAUGAAUAUGGACUUCCUUUGACCAAUCAGAUUUAAGUGAUGUGGCGCCUUUUAUGGGUUUUUAUUUCAUGGGCCUGCUGCAUCAGUUUGACAUGUGGCACGGUCCUAUUGGCUCCUUCACUUGACUUGGCAUGCCACGUCAUUUGACACGUGGCGCUUAUUUGGGCCUCUAGAAUAUGACAAUUUCACUUGACUUGGCAUGCCACGUCAUUUGACACGUGGCGCUUAUUUGGACCUCUAGAAUAUGACAAUUUCUUGGGCUUAGUAAAGUGGGUUCAUCAUUUGUAGCCCAAAUUAAUGGACUAACCCAAUAAAUAUUGGGUCUUAUUUAAAUCCAUACACAUUUGGACUUAAAUAAUUAAUUCAAUUAUAUUAAUUCGCAAUAUUUAUUUAGGACUAAUAUGUUUUGAAUUUAUUAUAAUCCAAAUUUUAUACAGAUUUAAAUUUAAUAAAAUUGCAUCACCCAUAAUACCCCUACUUCAAAAUUUGUCGAGAUAUUUAAUUUAUCGAUGACUAAACUUGAAGUAUUAACUGAUAAUAAUCAAUGCAUGCAUACCGUAAAUGAGAGCGCCCAAACGCUAAGGGAAUGCCAAUAUCAUACGAACAAGGACAUAAUUAAUAAUUCUUUAUCAUAAUUAUGUCUUGUACAAUAAUCCUAUGCAAUUGGAUGUAACUUUGGCCCACUGUGAAUAUGUCUCAUUAUUUCAGUAGCCUGCAAUCCAUGCAACUAAAUAUUUCACAUCCACCGUCCCCUCUUUUAUUGGCUCACGUGAGAAUUUGAUUCCCUUUUCAGUUGGGAAUGCUCACGUAGCACAUAUAUAUAUAUAUAUAUAUAUAUUUGGUAAAAGGACAAUAGUUUGAUUCCAAGUAAAAGACCACUGGUGAAAACCAAAUUUGUAUAGAAUUUGUCAAUUUGUGGCUCUCAACCACCGCCUCCCAAAUUCUAUAAAUAAGGCGCAUGUCUUCUCAUUCUUUAUUGAGUUCUCAAGCCGUGAGCAUUAAAAUUUUUUUGUUUGACGAGUUUGGUUGCUGUGCAAUCUGAACGGUAAGUAAUUCUACCGAUUACUUUUGCUUCUCUUUGUUGUCUUCUUUUCUUUUUCUUCCUUUUUUUGUUCUUUGUUUUCUUAUUCUUUUGUAGGGUUGAAAAUAAAUAGCAAUGCGCAUUAAUGGUGGCCAUCGGCUUAAGGUGCGAGAGUUUAACUUCGCCUCCAUUACCUUAAGUCUGACCAAUUUUAUUUGAAGAUGGUGAACAUUGGCUUAAGGUGCGAGAGUUUAACUUCACCUCCAUCACCUUAAGUCCCUUAAGUCCGACCAAUUUUACUUGAAGAUGGUGCAAUGAUUUUCCUUUCACCGAUGUAUUUAUGCGAUAAUCUUCUCUAAGUAUGGGCCCUUUUCAAUGUUCAGCUUAAGGCGUGAGAGUCUAACUUUGCCUCUCUUACCCUAAGACCUGACGAAUUCGACUUCAAAUAUACGUGACUAUAUUUCACCAGAGCCAAACACAUGAAGAACCUUUUUUUCCUUUGUCUUUUUCUUUGCCGGUAUAUAUAUAGAUUUUUUCGAAUCUUGACUUCGUGUCUAAUAGAGAUUCUUUUAUUUAUGCAGCUUGAAGAGAUGGUUCGCUUUAGAGACUACACAUCUUCAUCCUCUAAAAGCAAGUAUCUUCUAAUUGAAGCCGAUGACGGUAUCAUUUUAACCAGGCUAUUGACUGAAACUCCAAUGGUAGGCAGGUAUGCAGAUCCGUGGCCACCCUUGCAAAAUUCUCUCCAUAUGUCGGAUUGGACUUCAGAACAUGACAUUGGUGCUAAUUGUUUUGCGGAAAAAUUUUAACUUUUUGAGAGUCGCCACUUAAUUUUGAAAAAGGAAUUAAGAAACCUUUAAAGAGUUACUUCAAACGAUUCAAAACAGAAAAAUCGUUUUAAGUUUUAAAGAUUCCGAGUAAGUGGUUCCUAUUAACGUUUUAGGAAGUAUUAGGCACCUAAAACGUCCGCUAACUUGCGGUUAUCCGGACUGUUUGAAAACAUCUUUUGAUUAACUUCUGAAAAGAUUAAUUUGUUGAAAUAGUGAUUUGAUUUUUUAUUUUUUAAAAAAAAACUUGUGUAAAAUAGAUUUAGGCGACUUAGUAGGGAUUUUAACUAAAUCUAAACAAAACUAAUAAACAAAUAAACACAUAAAAGGGGAAGGGAGGACCAUUGGGCCCAAAUCAACGAGACCUGUCCUAGUUUAGUUGGGCUUCCGAUCCAUUUCACCUGUUCUAAACUAUUUUUCGAGCCUUUGACUCGAGUCUUGCUCCACCUAUAUUAAAUACAACUUUGGCUUCGAGGCCGAAAUGAAUGAAUAAAUAAAUAACUAAAUGAAUAAAUAAAAAGAAGACAAUAAUAAAAAUUGAGACUUUUCAAGUCUCUUAGUGACCCCAUCAAUGGGUUUUGAUCCAUUUUCCUUCUUCGUCUAUCUUCUAGCACCCGCACGCCAUGUAAUGGACCUCAGGUUUAAAAUUCGAACUUGACUCGAAGGGGUAGACCUCAUUGGCCCAUUACAAAAUGCAAGAGGAGAGGAAUCCAUUUGGCCUCGAGAUAUAUUUUGCAAGCAAAGAAAAGAUAAAGAAAUUAAUAUAUGUUCAAGGUGUAAAAGUGACAUAUUUCAAAGUAAAAGAAACUAUCAAGAACCAAUUUUUGAAUGAUAAGAAUAAACAUACUUGCACAACAAGGAGAGUCAACAAAUAAAAAAUGCAAAGCAAAGACACUCCUUUACAUGCCUCAUGAUUUAUGUUCAUAUUAAGAAUGAAUAAAGGUAAAAGAAGAAGGUCAUAUUCAAUGAAUUAAUGCGAGAAACAAACAACGUAAGCUUGCGAAAUUAAAGGGAUGAGGCAACAAGAAAAACACUCAUGAUUUCUAGAAUUGAACAAACAUAGACACCAAUCCAUAUAACAAAAGAAAAUAAAGNNNNNNNNNNNNNNNNNNNNNNNNNNNNNNNNNNNNNNNNNNNNNNNNNNNNNNNNNNNNNNNNNNNNNNNNNNNNNNNNNNNNNNNNNNNNNNNNNNNNNNNNNNNNNNNNNNNNNNNNNNNNNNNNNNNNNNNNNNNNNNNNNNNNNNNNNNNNNNNNNNNNNNNNNNNNNNNNNNNNNNNNNNNNNNNNNNNNNNNNNNNNNNNNNNNNNNNNNNNNNNNNNNNNNNNNNNNNNNNNNNNNNNNNNNNNNNNNNNNNNNNNNNNNUUUAGCAUUUCCAAAAUUGAAAUAUCAUUUCACAAUCAUACUAUGCAUGACUCGGAAAUAUCUAAAUAAUUCUAUUUAGCCACAAAAAUUUGAACUUUCUCAUCAUUUUGACAAAUUUUAAAAACAUACGGGAAAAAAGAGGAAUAAAUAUUGUGAAUGGAAAAUAAAGCUAGCACUUCAUCUCUUAUAUGAAGAUUUUGGAGAUUCCUUAAAAUAAUUAACAAGCAAAUGACAAAUUCUUGAUUUAAUCAAUUACUAUUUUUAUGAAGGUGAAAUAAAUAAUAAUAACUAUUCUUCCAACAUAAAAUAAACUACUUUACACGCUAAAAUAAAUAUAUCCGCUAACAAUGAGUUUAAACAAGACAUGGGUAUUGUUUUUCAAGUAAAGAUCUAAACUUUAUCCAAAAUAAUCAAACAAUAAAGUAAAAAAAGAAGAAACAAUCAAUAUUAACGAUUCUUUUCAACAUAAAGAAAAAUACUUUACAUGCUAAAAACAAACAUAUCCAUCAACAAUGAAUUUAAAACAAGACAUGAGUAUAUUUUCAAACAAAGAUCUAAACUUUAUCCAAAAUAAUCAAACAAUAAAGUAAAAAAAGAAGAAACAAUCAAUAUUAUCUAUUCUUUUCAACAUAAAGAAAACAACUUUACAUGCUAAAAACAAAACUUUACAUGCUAAAAACAAAUAUAUUCACCAACAAUGAGAUUAAACAAAGCAUAAGUACAUCUUUUAAGCAAAGAUUGAAACUUUAUCUAUAAUAAUUAAAGAAUAAAGUCAAAAAAGGCACGUACAACUAUUGCUAGCUCAUUUUUAUAUCAUGAAUAUGAAAAUAAUUAAAAUAUCGCUAUCACAACGUCCUAUGGCCUUUAAGCCAUCUAUAGCAAACAAAAUUAUAACUACGAAGAAAAAAAAGAUGAAGAGAGAAAAAAAAUGAUAAUAAAACUUAAAAAAAAAAAAAGGAAAGAUGUGUUUACCUUUUUGGGGGCACCAAAAUGAAACUACGAGAUUCGUCGGAAUCAACCACAACCGAAAAACGUCGCCGGCAACUUGAAAUUUUUUAUUAGCCGACCAACUCUAUGAAACAAAAUUUUUUACAAAAUAAAAAUAACUAUUUUGCUCAAAAUGAUUUUUUCACCUUUCUAGCCUUUUUUUCUUACUUUUCCACCCUCCUUCUCUACCAAAGUAGUGGUAGUAUUUAUAGGAGAGAAUAGGGUGUUUUCUUCUUUUCUCCACCAGUGUGGGAGAAAAAUAUUUAUAGGGAAGGAUAGAGAUUUAUUUCUUGUCAUCCACCAAUGUGGGAGAAAAAACAUUUAGGGGUGCUUUUGGAAUGUAAAAAUUGAAGUAAGGUGACGUGGAAGAUAAUGUGGGGGAAAAUAGUACAAUAUAGUACAAUCUUUGAAUUUCAAAAUUAGGAAAGGACAAAGUUGGGGGGAAUAGUGCAAUGUAGUACAAUUUAAAUUUAUUUUUUUGUGGAAAUUGGGUAGAAGUUAUGAGAGUUCUUAAAAAUUUUGGGGUUAUUUAAAAUAUAACUCCAAUUAGGAUUUAAAAUUUAGUCAUAUUUAUUUAUUUGACCAAAUUAAAAAUCAAUUGACGAAUUGCAUUGCAAUUAUGACCAAUUUUAUUUCAAUUAUGGCCAAAUCUAAUAGAUUGGCUAAAUUAAAUUAAAAUUCGAUACGAAUUAAUACUUCUUUUAAUUUCGAGCUUCUUAAUUUAAUAAAAUCAAAUGCAUAUUUAUCCAAAUAAAUUAUUUUUGAGAAUAAAUUAUAUUUAAAUCAAGAUUUUAAUCAUUUGAAUUAUUUUCAAGAUGAACACUAAUUAAAAGCCGAUAUUUUAUAAAAUAAAUAUUUAAGUGACAAAUUAUAUAAUCUCGUAUAACUGAACACAAUAAUAUAUAAUCGUUACUUAAAAUGAAAAAAUCACGUAUGAAAAAUAUUUUUUUAAAAAAAUUUAUUUGGAUGAAAUAAAUAUUUUGGUUUUAUUAGAAACUGAAGAAACUCAGGAUUAAAUUUAGCCGUGGAGGGCAAAAAUUAGGUGUCAACACUAAUCGAUUGGUUAAAGUAUGGCUUCUUUGUACUCCCAACCAACGUCAAUUGAAUAUUGUGAGUACCCUUCCUUGCUUAGGACGUUGGGUACUUAAAGGAGAAGUACAUUGGGGGGGUACCAUAGAGAUAACUGGUGAAUAUCGUCAUACUCAAGGAUAUUGGGAAUGGACCGAGGACAUAUUGGCUAGAAGUGCAUAAACCUUGAAGGCAGCAAAAAUAUAUGGUGCCGUUUAAGCUUCACAGCGUACCUAUGAUCGAAACUCGAACAUAUUACAGGCAUUCUUUGAGGCUUGGUGUCCAAAUACCAAUACAUUGCUUACUUCAGUUGAAGAGCUAUCCAUAUCCCUUUGGGACUUAUACAAAAUUGGAGGUCGGCCUAUCAGAGGCCUUUCUUAUGAAGAAGUGGUGCCCGAAGCGAAGGAGCUUACAGGUGUUGAUGAAAAGAAUGAGAAAUUUAUCCCUCGUUCUUGUGAAUCCUUGUUUAUAGCUUUUCAACAUCUUCAAGAAGGAGAGGCUUGUAAUCCGAGAGUUCCUUUAUGCAAGUGGAUAAAAUUUUGGUGCAAAAGGAUAUUAAGAUACGACUCAGCCCCACCGAGGAAGGAGAAAAAAUCUGCUCGCUUGAAGUCAACCGAUAACCCAACUGGGACCAUUCUAAAUGCCGCGAAGUGGAUGUCACGUUUUCUAAACUUGGAGUGAAGUAUUAACAAAGAACCGAUACGUAUUUGGCAGCGUUCCUAUCAUGUUGGUUGUGCACCUUUGUAUUUCUCUCUAGGGAUGGAUUUUUCAUUCGUCCGGGAACUUUUAGAAUUGCAGCUAUGGUGGCAGAUAAGCAAACUUUCAGUCUUGCCGUUCCAGUCCUAUCGAGUAUUUAUAAUGGUCACAAUAAAGUCUACAAAUCUUCACCACUUGAGCAGCUCAGAGUAUCCUUUCCUAUCCAUUAUGUGUAUGGUUGGCUCGCUUACUAUUUUAAGACACAUUUUCCACUUUCUAAUGGACCAUCUGUUCCAUUGAUGACGUCAUAUUUCGUCAAGGGCGGGGCAAGGUAUUUUGAUGGAGAGUUUACCAGAAAAUGCAUCCAUCAAGGUGACACUAUUACUCGGGCUUCCACUAUGCCGCUCCAGGCCGCUCCUUGUCAUUUUAAAGAUGAUGAUAAGGGUGACGAGUCAGAGAUAAGCUAUUUCAUGAGCCUCCGUUUUAACUUACUCCCUUUUAGAUAUGGAGGUUCAUUCAUACUUGAGCCAUACAGUCCCACCGGUUUAGCCGUCAGUUUGGAUUUUAUCAAGGCCUUCCCGGAGUCUUGGAAGAUGAUAUUCACAGUGCUUCAUUAGAUGAAGGCCUUAAAUUUCAUCGAAUUUGUGCAUUGCAUGGCUUUAUGUCAAAAGCGACUUUCCCUAAAGCCACACCCAAUGUGCGAAGAUAUUUAUCCACACCAUAUAAAUCUUGGUGGGACAAAGUUCAUGGGAACUUUCUCAAAGUUAAUUUACAAUCUUUGGUGAAUGUUGUAGGUCCGAUUAUUGACAUUCCUCAAGAACAUGAUGAGGGUGUCCCAAAUGUGGAUAAGCCUCCAGUUUUGAAAGCUAAGGUAGUAAUUCCAUGCAAAGUCAAGGGACCUCCACAUGCAGAAACUCAGAAAGAGGAGUUUCCUGCCCUGGCUCAAUCGGCUUUCAAUAAACGAACCUUUCAAGAUGAGAGCGAUGGUAGUCACAGAGAUCGUUGUUGGAAGAAGGCAAAACCAUUUUUGGUGAAGCAAAGUGAUUCUAACACCUAUGUGAAGAUUUUUGCUAGUUCAUCAAAGACUUCGCUAGCUAUCGAGAAGGUAAUGACUCAACUCUUCUACUAUUUCACAGUAUAUGCAUUGCCUUUAUAUACCCCUCAUAUUAUGUUUUUCUUUGUAGGCGCAGCCAGACAAUGUCCAGAUUUUGGAAGUUCCUCAUCAAAGUAAGCCACAAGAUAGUAGCUAGUCUGUAGUAGGUCCAGACUCAAGGGAGUUACUUUUAUCAUCCAAAGAGGUUACUUCUAACUCUUGCGGUAAAGUCAAAGAAAAUGCGGAGGCAAACUUUUCCCGGCAACCAGCAGUGACCAUGUCUGUUUUUUAUGGCAAGAAGGUCAUUUCAAAGCUUAAAAAGAAAUUUAUCAUGAAGGCUUAGGCUAGUAUCCAUACUAAACUUGCAGACCUUACUCCAAAUCGUGCUUCUUCUAUCCAAGAUGACAUCGAAGUCAUACUCAAUGACAUGAGUGUAAUGGGGGCAGAUAUUUCCCCCUUACAAGAUUUAUUGGGGUAUUUCUUUGGGAUGGCGACUUCCUAUGACCAAGCACAAUCCGUCCUUGUUGAUAAGACCACAACAAUUAAAAAGUCAGAGCCAUAUUUAAAAUCCAAAGAAUAUCUUGAGCUUGUACUGAGGGAGAGGGAUAAGAAAUUUGAAAAAGUUUUUGCUGCCUGCAAAUCUCUUGAGAAGGCGAGAAAAAAGGUGAAGAAGUUGAAAGCUCAUCGAGAUGCUGCCAAGCAAGAAGCUGCAGAGAUGGAAUCCAAAGUUUUAGCUGCUGAAGAAGAGUUUUCCAAGUGUUCUGAUGUCUCCCUUGCAACAAAAAAAGCCUCAAAGGUCGUAAAGAAUAAGAAGCAAGUCUUAGAGACUGCUUUACAAGAUUUAGUCAAUUAUAAGCUAUACUUAGAUUAGUCUUACGAUAUGUCUUCCUUCAAACCUUCUUGUUGCUUUCUUUUACCUUUUUUUAUUGAGUAGUCGGAUCUAUUAGUCAUAAUGGAAACUCUUUUUAUUUAUAUUGCACAUUUAUUUUAAUAUAUCCUUUGAAUUCCAACCCCAAAAAUUGAUUGCUUAUUUUGAUGCAUUGAUGUCGUUAUAUUAAACUCUGGCUUUUCUCUUCCAAAAUUGUUUCUCAUUGGCUUCACGUCUUUGUCUCACAACCCAGUUGGACUUACAACUUCAAUUUGAAAGCCUUAAGAAUUAAAGCUUUUAACUUCAUAAUUGAUAAUUGCACGUGUGGUAGAUCUAUGCAUCAACUGUAAGCUUUGGGUAUUACAAAUCCUAUCGAAAGAGCUUCCUUUUCUUUUGAUGGGUUGCCCCAAUUGAGCCACAAGUAUUUACAUAACUCCAAUACUUAAUUGAGAUGUAUGCAUACUUAACUUUCAUACGACGGAUCAAAUGGGGACAUGUAUUUUUUUUGACACUCAUGCAACUGAACUCAGAAUGAAAUUUCAAACGCCUACGUACCUCAGUAAAGAGGAUCAAGUCACAACGUAGUUCUGGGUGAGUUUUUUUUUUGUGUGUAUGUGUGUCCUAAGUUUUGCCUUGGCCGCCUCUUUUGUGGUUUUCAACCUAGUGGACAUUUUUUUAUGAGCCAUUCACAGUUUAUACUCUUGCGGGCUAGGAAUGGACAUGCAGUUUAUACUCGUGCCUUAAGAAGUGUCAUCUUCCUUUAAGGAUAGUACCUCUUCAAGAACUUGGCAUUGAUGGGGCCAAUCCUCACACCAUCUGCAUCGACAAGCUUGUAAGCACCAUUUGAAUAUGCCUCUUGUACAACAUAUGGUCCAUCCCACUUUGGGGUGAAUUUACCCCCAGACUUACAAAAAGUAAUAAUGGGUCUUCUUACUGUAAGGACUUGAUCUCCAACUUAGAAACACCUCAAGCGAACCCUUUUAUUGAAAGAAUGAGAUAGCCGGGCUUGGUAACAUUCAAGAUUUUGUUGAGCCUCCAGCCUCUUCUCAGCAAGAGCUUCUAACUCCGCAAGAUGAAACUUAGCAUUUUCUUCAUCGAUGAGCUCUUCUUGAAUAGCUAGUCUCAAAGAAGGUAUUUGACGCUCAAGUGGCAGGAUUACUUCAACUCCAAAAGCAAGUGAGUAUGGAGUUGCUUGCGUCGGUGUACGAUAAGUUGUCCUAUACGCCCAUAAAGCUUCUUCCAUUCGCUCAUGCUAGUCUCGUUUGGAUUUGGAGACGACUUUCUUCAGCAAGUUCCAUAAAGUCUUAUUGAACGCUUUGGCUAGACCAUUGGCGGCAGCAUGGUACAUAGAAGACUUGCGCUGCUUGAAACCAAAGAGAUCGCAGAAUUUGUUCAUCAGUUUAUUAUCAAAUAGCUUUCCAUUGCCAGUUAUUAUGUACUGAGAAAUUCCAAAGCGGUAGACAAUAUUCACUCGGAUGAAAUUUGCAACAUUUUCUUUCUUUACUUCCUUGAGAGCAACAGCUUCAGCCCAUUUCGAGAAGUAAUCUGUUGUGGCCAAAAUGUAUAGGUGUCCACCAGAAGAUUUUGAUAGUGGACCAACAAUAUCCAUUCCCCAAGCAUGGAAUGGCCAAGAUGCUACAGUUGGGUGUAGUACCUCUGGAGGUUGAUGUAUGAAAUUUUCAUGGAAUUGGAAAGCUUUGCAUCUUCUAGCAUAGUCCAAGCAAUCUUUCACAAUCGUUGUCCAAUAAUAUCCCAUCCUUUUAACGUGAAAAUGGAGCUUUGGUCCAGACUGAUGCGAUCCACAAACUCCCGAGUGCGCUUCUUGCAAGGCUUGGAUUGCUUCUUUCUCUGCCAAACACCGUAAGAGUACUCCUUCAAAUGAUCUUUGGUACAAUGUGUCUUUGUAGUAAAGAAAGCAAGGUGCACGAUGACGAAUGUCAGUCUUUCUCCUUGGAUCUUUUGGAAGUAUCCCAUAACACAGGUAGUCGAUGCUAGGUUGUAGCCAAUCUUCUUUUACAGCUUCGAAAACGGUAACAAGGUAUUCAACCUUACCUUUUAUGUCCUCAUCCUCAUUUGAUGGUGGUACUACCCAUUCUUGGCGGAUAGUAACUCGUGUUUGAUUUGGAAGAGUUAGAGUUGAGGCCAAAGCAGCUAGGGCAUCAGCAUGCUUAUUUUAUUUCCUUGGCACAUGCUUGAGGGUUACUUCUCCAAGACAUCCCAUCAACUUCCGUGAAUAAUCAUGAUAUGGUCUUAACUCAGGCUUCUUGACUUCAUAACUUCCUAACAACUGCUUUAUCACCAAUUGGUAGUCACCAAAAACUUAUAAUUGCAGUUGCUUCAUGUCGACAGCCAUCUCUAGCCCGAGUAUGAGCGCUUGAUACUCGGCAACAUUAUUGGAGCAACGAUUCAUCAAGGUAAAAGAGUAGGGGAUGACCUCUUCUUGUGGAGUGACAAACACUACGCCAGCACCAGCUCUGUCUCGAUGUGCAGCCCAUCAAAGUACAUCUUUCAUGGGGAUCUAACUUCAACAGUCAUUGCAUCUUCAUCAGGAAGUUCAUCGCUCAGUUCUCAGUCAUCAGGUAUUGGGUGAUCUGCCAAGAAGUCAGCCAAUGCUUGUCCUUUUACAGCCUUUUGAGGGAUGUACACGAUCUCAAACUGCUGAAAUUAGAGGUACCACCUUGCAAGUCGGUCACUAAGGACUGGUUUCGACAUCACAAACUUAAUGGGAUUUGCCUUGGACACAAAACGAACAACGUGAUAUUGAAAGUAGUGUUUCAUCUUUUGGAUAGAGAAAGCCAAUGCCAGACAUAACUUUUCGAUCGGAGAAUAUUUUAGCUCAUUUAGUGUCAUCAUUCUGCUCAAAUAGUACAAAGAGUUUUCUUUGCCUUCACUAUUUUUCUGAGCCAAUAGUGCUCCGACUGACCUUUCUUGUGCCGCGAUAUAGAGUAUUAGUAUUUUUCCAAGUAUGGGUGCCGCAAGAACUGGUGGCUUCAUUAACUAUGAUUUGAUACUCUCAAAGGCAUUACUAUAAGCUUGGUCAAAUUUGAAGGGAGUGUCCUUCAUGAGAUGGCUAAAUGGUUGAUAUUUUCUGGCCAAGUUUGAGAUGAACCUCCUUAAAUAUACUAGCCUUUCUUGAAGGCUUUUUAACUAAUGAAUGUUUCGAGGCUCGGGCAUCUUUAAAAUUGCAUCGACCUUGUCUUGAUCAAUUUUAAUUCCUCAGUGUUGCACAAUGAAGCCAAGAAACUUUUCGGAAGUAACUCCGAAGGCACACUUCAAUGGAUUCAUCCUAAGCUGAUAUCUUCGAAGUAACUCGAACAACAUUCUUAGAUUUUUUAAGUGGUCAUCUCUCUUACUUGACUUCACCACUAGAUUAUCCACGUAGCAUUACACAUUCUUGUGGAGUAGGCUAUCAAAGAUGUUUUGCAUAGCCCUUUGAUAAGUGGCGCCAGCGUUCUUCAAACCAAAAGGCAUCACCUUGUAGCAAUAAAUACCUUUGGGCAUACGAAAUGCAGUGAGCUCUUCAUCUUUUAGUGCUAUGCGGAUUUGGUUGUAACCGGAUGAACCAUCCAUGAAGGACAUUGCCUCAUAACCAGUGGUGGCAUCAAUCAUCAACUCUGGUAUGGGGAUUGGGAAAUCAUUCGUAGGACAUGCAUUGUUGAGAUCUCGAAAGUCGACAUAAACUCGAAUUUGGCCAUUCUUCUUCCGUACUGGAACAAUACUUGAGAUCCACAUGGGAUAUUUAACUUCACGAAUAAAGACAUCUUCAAUGAGUUUGUUAACUUCAUUUUCAAUAAUGGAACCAACUCUGGCCUAAAGCGCCUUUAAGCUUGCUUAACAGGACGAGCACCAUUCUUGACCGCCAACUGAUGGACCGUUACUUUCGGAUCUAAGCUAGACAUUUCCUUAUAAAUCCAAGCGAAGACAUCCAUAUAUUCUUUCAUUAUAUUCAUAUACGCGAUUUCUUUCUCCAUCUCUAGAAAAGCACUCAAGUAAGUUAGUCUUCGUCUUCAUCUAUUCCAAGGUUAACUUCUUUCAAGGGAUCUAUUGUGGCUUUCACUCCUUCUUCAAGUUGAAGUGGAGUAUCUCCAGCAUCUUUCUCCUCUUGAGGAUCAUCAUCGUUGAUGUAUAUAUAGUGACACCAGAAAGUAUCUUCCAUCUCUUCAUCAACCUUCAUUUGAGAUGAGGCCUCAUUCUCAUUCUGGGCCGUCACAUGAUAUGAGGAGCUAACACUUUCUUCAUUUUCCUCACGUUCCUUGGUAUAAACCACAGUAUGAGCCAUUUCUCUUAACACCUUGUUUCAUGAAACUACCAAUUUCUUCUGCCGCUACAUUCUAGAAGGAAUCAAACUUUGGAAAUCCUUCUGAAUCUUAGGCGAGAAGUGCACUAUCAUAUUUUGAUGACUUUUCCGACACUAGUUACUUCUCUUCUUAUUUAGAGGACCCAACCUCUCAAAUACAAAAGUUCUUACGGUUGAUUCUCCAAGUUGGUUAAAGACAGAAGGCCUUUUGUUGGAUACGGUAGACUCCUCUUCUACAGUGAUGAAAUUACUAACUGCCCUUCUUAUGGAGAUACAAAUUGGAGGUGGUUGUGUGUAUCCUAGGCCUUCAUGUGUCUGCCUUGUUGUACUUUCCAACGAAAGUUUACCUAACCUUGAUGGCUCAUUAGGAUUAUAUCCAGCCUUUACAAAUAACUUGUAUGCUUUUGGGUCGAAGCCCUCCUUUGUCCGCUUCGUAGGGAGUGUUACAUCUUGUGGCGAAUUUUGAGCCACAGCUAGCCUUGAGGAUGGAUUUAUCGCGUUAAUCUUCCUAAUAGGUAAAGUUAUCCCAUUUAGCACAUUAUCUUGGGCAUCAGAUGGGUGAUCUUUCUCUUUCUUUACCUUUGGCAAGUAGCGAAAAACAGGAGUUGCCUUAUUUUUCAUAGGAGCGGCGCUUUCUUCAUUUGAAGUGGAGAGAGGAUUUUUAGUGUCAACCUUUUCAAUAGUCACCAGAUCAUCACACUUGGUAUUAGUGACAUCAUUAACCUUUUUCUCAUCCACAACAUGCUUCUUUAAGUAGAAUUAUGCAUCGACAAAAUGUGACUCAGCUUCAGUGAAUGGCUUGUCAUCGGCAACUAUCUUUCUUUCCACUCCGCCUUCGAGGUACUUUAAGUAUUGGUAGUAAGAGGAUGAGAUAAUUUUUUCCUGUGCACCUAAGGCCUACCAAGCAAUAUAUUGUAUGAAGUUUUGGCAUUGAUUACAUGCAUCAAUGGGUUUGAUUGAAAAUCAUCCGUACGAACCCCCAAUUUGAUACAUCCCAUGGCCUUCUGGCCCUCUUGGUUAAAGCUUUGGAUCAUUAUACAACUUUCGUCCAAUUCGCUAGGAGCGAUGCCAAGUUCCUUCAUCGUUCGAAUAGGCAGGAUGUUGACUCCAGAUCCCUCAUCUAUCAAGAUUCUAGUGAUCUUCUUUCUUAGAAUUUGACCCACCAUGUAUAAGGGACGGUUAUGUAGGGCCUCACCAAGCAGAAGAUCGUUAUUUGUGAAUGUGAUUUUUGUAUCACAUACAUGUGCCUCUUCGCCAAGAGUUUCAGCAAGCUUUUUGGAAGGUGAAGGAACCUCCAUGAGUAGAUUUUCACCCUUUGCCCCCUCUUUGGCGGUAUUAGAACAAGAAGCCUCAAGGUUGACUUAGGCAGUCUGAAACCAACUCGGUAAGAAUUCCUCUAAAGUCACCGGACGCUGAGAUUUUUGGUGGUGAAGCUGAGUCACCCUCGUCUUCUUUGGGAAUUCAACCAACUUCUGUUUCCUUGGUUUCUUUAUCAUUCUCUUUCUGGUUGGCUGCUUGGACAACUCCUUUCGCUGACUCAUCCUCCUGCGUCUGCGCCUCGUCAGCAGAGUCCAACCUUCAUCAUUGCCUUCGUCAACUGAAGACCUUUCAGGCUCUAAUAUUUUUUUAUUAUGCUUCUUGACACAUAUUUAGACUGGCUCAAGCGAGCCAGAAGUAAUAGAGAUUUGAUGAAAACUGGACGUCUCAUCGUCGAAGAAGAUCUUCUCUUUUGCCAGUUGCAUGACUUUAUCUUUAAAGAAAAAACACUUUUCCAGAGGAUGAAUUACGAUUCUAUGAAUUACGAUCCUAUGAUAUUUGCAAUAAUUAGGUUCAUUGGUCCUUCCAGCUUCAUUUGGACGCUUCAUCUCUGGGAGUUCAAUGAGCUUAUACUCAAGGAGUUCAUCAAAAAUCUCAGCAACAUCAGAAUCAAGGAAGAGAUAUUACUUUUCUUGCAUCUCCUUUAAAGUUUUCUGAUUCGGACGUGCUCCAGAAGUCGUCUUCACACUUUACUUCUUGCUCACCUUGGUGGUGACGUUCAUAGGAGACACGUCAAAAUUCAUGGAUUCUUUGUUAUCAUUUUUUGGGACAAACUUACCCCAUUUUUUUGGGUUCUUAUUUAUCCUUUCCCCUUCGAGGGUCAUGAAUAGGCGCUCCUUCCUUUCCAGCAGAAACCAUGAUCAACUCCAUGUCAUGAGCACAAGUAGCUAACUCUUCAAAGGAUUUUGGUUUAAUUCUUUGCAAGAUGUAGAGAAGCCCCCAGUACAUUCCUUGGAAGCACAUCUCUAUUGCAGAAGCUUCACUAAGCCUAUCUUUGCAUUUUAGACUCGCAUUUCUCCAUCAACUGAUGAAUUCGAUGAUUGGCUCAUCCUUUUUUUACCGAGUAUUUGUGAGCUCUAUCAUGCUCACUGGACGCCUUGUGCUAUAAAACCGAUUUAGGAACUCGUGUUCCAAUUGCUCCCAAGUACUAUCGAUGGAGUUAGGCUCGAGAUCUGUAUACCAAUCAAAGGCAUUUCCCUUUAGAAAAUGAACAAACUGUUUGACAAGAUAGUCACCGUAAGUUCCAUCAUUAUUACAUGUCUCGACAAAGUGUGUGACAUGUUGUUUUGGGUUACCUCUGCCCUCAAAUUGUUAAAAUUUGGGGGGUUGAUAGCCAGCAGGUAUUUUGAAGCUAUUUAUUCUUGCGGUGUAAGGCUUGGCAUAUGCAAGAGAAGACUUUGUGACAACAUCAUACUUGUCCUUGAGGGUCCCUUCAAUAAAUUCCCUCAAUUGCCUAAUUGGGAUCAUUCCCUCAGCAGAAACUUGCACCUCUUUAGUCGAUGGUGUUUGUUUCACAGGGUUUUCUAUCUCAUGAACCUCUGGAGAUUUUUUCGGUGCAUGGCCAGAUUCUCCGUCUAUCAAUCUUCCACCCUAUCCACUAUCUUAUCAAUCCUAGCCUCUUGAUUUUGAACAUAGUUGGUCAGACCUUCAAUUGCCUUUGUCAGAUUCGCAAGAUGCUCCUCCAUAGAAGAGGCAUCAGUUACCAUUACUUGCAUAAUCAUCGGAGAUGUUGGAGAGUAACAUGGAUUAUCGCGUAGGUUGAUCUUCGAAGUGCUUAACUUAUGCGGUGUAAGUGGAGAUGACUCAUUUGUUGAACGACCAUCGCUCUUUGCGCUAGAGUAUUUGGAACCAGAAUGCUCAAGUAGAGCAAGAGUCUUCUUAAGCGAUUCCACGACACUGCUUCCUCCUUCUAAAGCACUUGUAUUGAACUUCGUUCCUUUUGGGGUUGAAGAUCCAAAAAUUAGAGUUGGCGCGGACGGCACUAGAUGUGUUUGUUGUCCUAGCAAACCUGCCUUGCUCCUAGUGACAACUCCUAAACUUCCGAAAGUAGCACCAACGAUGCUUUCCACUUCAGCAGAGAACCUUGAAUCAGCAGCUUUGGAAGCAGUUGAUUGAGAGUUGAUCUUCUUGGAAGCCAUUUCAGCGUUCUUAAUCUUCAAAGUCUGAAAAGUUGAGAUGAGAGGUAGAGAUCGUCCCACUGGGCGCGCCAGAAUUUGUUGGACAAUAAAAUUUUGAGGCCGAAAAAUAAAUAAUUCGAGACAAGAAAAUAUUGCAACAAUAAAUUUUAUUGAUUUCAAUGAGAGUAUUACAAUCUCUAUGAAUCCUCUGAUUCGCCUUUUCAAAUAUAAAUUCGAGGGCUUAAAGCUUAAUCUUGAAUUUGAACUUGAUUUGAUGGACUUGAGGGAUUUGAUAUUGACUUGUGCUUGAAUUCAAGGGCUUUUGAGCUUGUUCUUGAAUAUUACGGUCUUGAUCUUGAAUCUUAAUGAACUUAAUUUGAAUGCUUGAGCGUUUUAGAGAAAUUGCAGCGUUUGAUCCACGAGUUUUCUCUUGCUACUUGUUAGAGAUUUAGGGGUCCUUUUUCUGAAUUAUGAGGCCCCUAUUUAUAGUUGUAGGAAAGGAAGAGUCAUGAUGAAUAUGAACUUCCUUUGACCAAUCAAAUUUAACUGAUGUGGCGCCUUUUAUGGGUUUUUAUUUCAUGGGUCUGCUGCAUCAGUUUAACAUGUGGCACGGUCCUAUUGGCUCCUUCACUUGACUUGGCAUGCCAUGUCAUUUGACACGUGGCGCUUAUUUGGGCCUCUAGAAUAUGACAAUAUCUUGGGCUUAGUAAAGUGGGCUGAUCAUUUGUAGCCCAAAUUAAUGGAUAACCCAAUAAAUAUUGGGUCUUAUUUAAAUCCAUACACAUUUAGACUUAAAUAAUUAAUUCAAUUAUAUUAAUCCGCAAUAUUUAUUUGGGACUAAUAUAUUUUGAAUUUAAUAUAAUCCGAAUUUUAUACGAAUUUAAAUUUAAUAAAAUUGUAUCGCCCGCAGACAUAUUCACACCAGACAGAUCUACAAUGAAAGGUUGUGUAGAGCAGAGAAGUAAUGAAAACAUUGUACAUUCAACAAACAAAAAACAAAAACUCUCUGAAAACACAAUAAGAAUGGACUCACACAUAUUGCAGAACAUCAUCCUAAUAGAUCAACCAAUGAGCUGGUUCUGAGCCAGUUCGACUCUCAGUGAAAGCGCCAAUGUAACGAUUUUGCACUUUAUGCACGCAAUUAAUUUGAGCUAGAUCGUUCUGCAGAAGGUGUUGUAUAUGCACUUUGUUUUCUAAUCGGGUCGAUCAUAGUUUUAGCACUUCAUUUAUCAGCUUCUGGUGCUUUAUUCAUGCUGGUUACAUCUAAGCCCUCUGAUAGAUAUUUUAUUUAGAACAAAAGAUUGGUUAUAAUUAUUUAGAAACAUUUCAAGAUGGGAAUGGAGUAACAUUGCCAGUAAAAUUUCAAAGUUCGAAUGGAAUGGAACAGUCAGAUCAAAUACAUAAUCGAGAAUAUAUAGAUGUAGCAUUUUACAUUGUAAAUAGUAAAUUUGACUCGAAACUGCAUGGUCUAUAUAGCGGUAAAACAUAGUGAUAAUGGUCACAGACAUACCUGAACUGUCAUUUUUUCGCGAUUUUCACACCUCAACUAUCAUCUAUUCUGCUCGACAAUAGCCAACUUACAGUAACAUUGUUAAGAAUGAAACCAGAGAAGCAAAUUAAAUUUUCCAUAUAAGUCGGAUCACGAUGAGGUUUUCUUCAUACAAUUAAUUUCUUUUCUGCAUUUUCCAAUUGUGUUUGGUUCGCAAGUAUCAGUAACUCUGUUCACCAAAUUUUAGAACCUUUUUGAAAUUAUAUAUCAAAACAUCUUGAAUAUAUUUUCCCAAAUCACAAAUCAGAUUAAUUUGAUAAUCAUUACUCAUGUAACAUAAAAGUAAUCAAGACAUAUUCACUUAGGUCUUAGGAAGAGGAAGCAAAAUAACAAGAACUAGUAAGUAUUACCAUAUAUUAUAGAACCUCUUAUGUAUGAAAAUGCCUACAAUUUUCAUGGAUAUAUUCACCUAAGCAUUAUAUAUCUAGUUGGUUCACUUGCAAUCUCACAGGUUAACAUUUCUAAAUGAGUGAUGAGUAGUACUAGUAUCCCAUCUGAAGAGCACACAUUUGUGUGCAACCAACAUACACAAUCCAUCUUCAUGUAUACUCCAGUUACACACUUCAGAAGCACUGUGACAAAUUUGUGUCAUUCAAGUCAAACAACUUGAAAAACCCGUGUUUUUCCCCUAGUUUCAUGUUACAAGAAAGGGUAUUAUUUACUCCAGGAAGAAUGUUUUGAUCGUGUUCAUAACUCUCUCCUGAUUCCAUCGCGAAGUUCCCUAUAUCUCCUCCGUUUACAUAACAUCCUGCGUUCGCUGUACUUGGUGUUUCAUUUUUCAUCACAACAGAAAAAUACUCACUGGUGCUUAUUUGUGAAUUCAUCAGUCAUGAAAAGCUAAGUAGGAAAAGGCAAAGUACUAAGUUAUAUUGUGAUGAGGAAGAAGACAUGGUGAAUUUUUGUGUGUGUGUGUAAUUUCUUGGUAUGUUUAUGGUUUGCUUGUUGAUGUUGGCCCUUAUAUUUAUAGUGAGUAAUGUGUGUGUCAUGUGGCUUGUAUCAACUACUUUCAUUAGUGAUAAUAGUGAAUAAUAUCUUCUUAUAUUGGUACUAUUUGAUCAUAAGGUCUUACCAAAAAGUCAUACCAGAUUUUCUAUGACUAUCUUCUUUUACGUAGAAGGGGAGUCUUGGAAUAACUGAUAAAGUUGUUGUCGUGUAAUUUGUAG